GUAAAAAAUUUAGNNNACUUCCCCCUUGUAAAAAAUAAUUUUAAACCAUAAAAUAAAACAUUUNUACCACUUUAGUAUAGGAGAUAGAAAAACUUAUUUAGCGCAAUAGAAAAAGUACUGCAAANGAAAAAUGAAAUAGAAAUUAAAUAAAACAUAAAAACAACNAAAANNCAAAGAUUUAACCUUAUACNUUUUGCAUCAUGGUCUAGUANGUUUAACCUAACACAAAGAACUUAAGUUAGAUANCCCNAAACUAAACGAGUUACUCCGAAGCAGCAAAACAUGGGCCAACCCUUCUCUGUGGCAAAAGAGUGGGACGACUUCCGAGUAGUGGUGAUAAACCUACCGAGCUUAGUAAUAGCUGGUUACUUAAUAAACGAACUUAAAUUCAACUUAAAAUAUCUUUUAAUCAACUUAAGAAANNNNNNNNNNNNNNNNNUUAAUUAAUAGAGGUUCAGCUCUAUUAAUAAAGGAUACAACCUAAAACAAUGAAUAAUGAUUAUAUUAAUUAAAGAAAUUAAUUUUGUGGGCUUAAAAGCAGCAAUCAUAUAUAAAGCGUNNNNNNNNNNNNNNNNNNNNNNNNUUAUAACAAUAAAAAAAUCCUAAUUCAUUAAAACUAUUAAGUCUAUCUAUUUAAAUAGAUGUGUUUAUACUANAAUUAGUAAUAAGAAAAUAUUCUCUAAGUNCAAGUGUAAAUCAGAACGAAUAAAUCACUGAUGUUUAACGAACCUAAUAGAAGGAAAUAUAAUAUUUUUCAAGAAAAAUUUAUUAAACCAAUCGUUACCCCAACACAGGAGCACAUAAGAAAGAUUAAAAAUAUAGGAAGGAACUCGGCAAACAUNAACUUCGCCUGUUUACCAAAAACAUCGCCUCUUGCAGUUAAAGUAUAAGAGGUCCUGCCUGCCCAGUGACACUAAGUUCAACGGCCGCGGUAUUAUGANCGUGCAAANGUAGNGUAAUCACUUGUNUUUUAAAUAAAGNCCAGUAUGAAUGGCNAGACGAGAGUUCAACUGUCUCCCUAAAUUGAUCAAUGAAAUUGAUUUUUCCGUGCAGAAGCGGAAAUAAAAAUAUAAGACGAGAAGACCCUAUNGAGCUUUANAUAUAUAAUCAAUUGUAUAAAAAAAUAUCCGAAAGACAAAACAUUAAAUUAANCACUAUNANUAAAGUUUUAGGUUGGGGCGACCACGGAGAAAAACAANACCUCCGAGAUGAAGAGAAUAUCUUAAUUUAAGAAUUACAAUUCUAAAAAAUAAAAUAUUUAACAUAAUUGAUCCAAAUUUUUGAUCAACGAACUAAGUUACCCUAGGGAUAACAGCGCAAUCCUUUCCAAGAGUCCCUAUCGACGAAUGGGUUUACGACCUCGAUGUUGGAUCAGGACACCCCAAUGGUGUAGNCGCUAUUAAAGGUUCGUUUGUUCAACGAUUAAAGUCCUACGUGAUCUGAGUUCAGACCGGAGUAAUCCAGGUCAGUUUCUAUCUAUAAAAAAUUUUUUCUAGUACGAAAGGNCCGAAAAAAUAGAGCCAAUAUAUAAACAAGCUCUUCCCCCUACUAUUGAAAACAAUUAAAAUANAUUUAGGCAACUAUUAAAACCCAAAAUAAGGGUUA
Molecule: ribosomal RNA, 1605 nt
Filed under: Paradactylodon persicus (Persian mountain salamander)
Lineage: Eukaryota; Metazoa; Chordata; Amphibia; Caudata; Hynobiidae
Description: Iranodon persicus (Persian mountain salamander) 16S ribosomal RNA
Rfam family: Bacterial large subunit ribosomal RNA
Source: RNAcentral